UCCGGCUUAUCACCGGCAGUCUCCCUAGAGUGCCCAACUGAAUGAUGGCAACUAGGGACGAGGGUUGCGCUCGUUGCGGGACUUAACCCAACAUCUCACGACACGAGCUGACGACAGCCAUGCAGCACCUGUGUACGCUGGUAUUGCUACCUCGUCAGGCUUUCACCCUUCUACUACGUACAUGUCAAGGCCAGGUAAGGUUCUUCGCGUUGCAUCGAAUUGAGCCACAUACUCCACCGCUUGUGCAGGCCCCCGUCAAUUUCUUUGAGUUUUAACCUUGCGGCCGUACUUCCCAGGCGGCACGUUUAGCGCGUUAGCUUCGCCACGAAAGGGGUCGAUUCCUCUCACAGCAAACGUGCACCGUUUACAGCCAGGACUA
This 379-nucleotide unclassified non-coding RNA is filed under the name uncultured Verrucomicrobiae bacterium. RNAcentral's name for it is "contains 16S-23S intergenic spacer region". Lineage: Bacteria; Pseudomonadati; Verrucomicrobiota; Verrucomicrobiia. The record is from RNAcentral.